Molecule: long non-coding RNA, 206 nt
Filed under: Elaeis guineensis (African oil palm)
Lineage: Eukaryota; Viridiplantae; Streptophyta; Magnoliopsida; Arecales; Arecaceae
Description: long non-coding RNA (EGUI_LNC028521)
Source: RNAcentral
GGCAGUGCCAUGCUCCACAAUGAUGAAGCCUUCAAGGGCUUCGAUCCUCUCUCGAGCUACUAGAAGCUUAGAUCUGCCUUGGGAGGCCUCUUCCUCAACUGCCUUUUUUGUCUCCUCAACGGCUUGCUUGGGUCUCAGAGGUCCGAAGUUUCUUCUCAAGCAAAAGCUUCACUAGGUUGAAUCCAAUGAGGUCCUCGCUAAGGAUA